This 243-nucleotide unclassified non-coding RNA is filed under the name plant metagenome. RNAcentral's name for it is "partial contains small subunit ribosomal RNA, internal transcribed spacer 1, and 5.8S ribosomal RNA". The stretch from base 195 to 243 matches the Rfam family "5.8S ribosomal RNA", at positions 1 to 49 of the family's 154-position model. The record is from RNAcentral.
UCUCCGUUGGUGAACCAGCGGAGGGAUUAUUACCGAGUUAUCAACUCCCAAACCCCUGUGAACAUACCCAACGUUGCUUCGGCGGGACCGCCCCGGCGCCCUCGGCGUCCCGGAACCAGGCGCCCGCCGGAGGACCCAAACUCUUGUUUAAACCAUAGUGGCAUAUUCUGAGUCUCACAAGAAAAAUGAAUCAAAACUUUCAACAACGGAUCUCUUGGCUCUGGCAUCGAUGAAGAACACAGC